ACGUAGUUGGCCGGACCUUCUUCUGCAGGUACCGUCAUUUUCGUCCCUGCUGAAAGGGGUUUACGACCCGAAGGCCUUCAUCCCCCACGCGGCGUUGCUGCGUCAGGCUUUCGCCCAUUGCGCAAGAUUCCCU
RNAcentral lists this ribosomal RNA (133 nucleotides) under uncultured bacterium. RNAcentral describes it as "partial 16S ribosomal RNA". The record is from RNAcentral.